CUACUCUUCAUUCAAUUCUCACACUGCAGAGCAAUCUAUACUCUAAAUAUAUAUAGCUAUAUACCCUCUUUGGCUUUCUAUACUUGUUUUCCAUUUAAGAUGGGUUGCUUCAAGAAUCUUGUCUUAAACAUGGUUUUGCUAUUUGUGAUUCUCUUAUCAAUGAAUCUCGCAAUAGCAAGACAGCCCCUUUGGAUAUCAGAGCCUCACUACACACAUGGACGCCACCUUCUGAAACAACCAGCAAGAGGCUACAAUUAUGGCGUCCCUGGGGGAAAGUGAAGCGGAGCUGGGUUGGGUUUCAAGGAGAAAAGUUUACUGUGGAGAAGCAGAUGUAUAACUGCAUAUGUACUAUGUUACUUUGUUUUGGAAUUACGAUUUCCUUUGAGUGUCAUCAAUAAUGUUAAUAAAUUCAGCUCAACUGUGUUAUUUUCCAA
Molecule: non-coding RNA, 434 nt
Organism: Cajanus cajan (pigeon pea)
Lineage: Eukaryota; Viridiplantae; Streptophyta; Magnoliopsida; Fabales; Fabaceae
Source: RefSeq, a predicted model, not a curated record